RNAcentral lists this ribosomal RNA (324 nucleotides) under uncultured bacterium. RNAcentral's name for it is "bacterial SSU rRNA". It matches the Rfam family "Bacterial small subunit ribosomal RNA", at positions 32 to 332 of the family's 1533-position model. The record is from RNAcentral.
AAUCAACGCUGGCGGCGUGCCUCAGACAUGCAAGUCGAACGCGAAAGUUUCCUUCGGGAAACAAGUAGAGUGGCGCACGGGUGAGUAACACGUAGGUAAUCUACCUUCGGAUGGGGAAUAACAAUCGGAAACGGUUGCUAAUACCGCAUAAUGCAGCGGCACCUAAUGGUGACAGUUGUUAAAAGCGGGGGAGUCGAAAGACCUCGCGUCUGAAGAGGAGCCUGCGGCGGANAGUCUAGUUGGUAAGGUAAUGGCGUUACCAAGGCUACGAUCCGUAACCGGCCUGAGAGGGCGGUCGGUCACACUGACACUGACAUACGGGUC